CCCGAGGAUGGGACUGCGGCCUAUCAGGCUGUUGGCGGUGUAACGGACCACCAAACCUACAACGGGUACGGGCGAUGGGAGUCGGAGCCCGGAGAUGGGGACUGAGACAAGGCCCCAGGCCCUACGGGGCGCAGCAGGUACGAAAACUCCGCAAUGCGCGAAAGCGUGACGGGGGAACCCCAAGUGCCGUUGGUCUUUGAUCGACGGCUUUUAGGGAGUCUAAGAAGCUCCCGGAAUAAGGGCUGGGCAAGUCGGGUGCCAGCCGCCGCGGUAAUACCCGCAGCCCAAGUAGUGGUCGCGAUUAUUGGGCCUAAAGCGCUCGUAGCCGGGUCAUCAAGUCCCUUGUGAAAUCGGGCGGCCUAACCGUUCGGCUUGCAAGGGAUACUGUUGGUCUUGAGGCCGGGAGACGUCUGAGGUACUCCGGGGGUAGCGGUAAAAUGCUGUAAUCCUCGGGGGACCACCAGUGGCGAAGGCGUCAGACGAGAACGGACCUGACGGUGAGGGGCGAAGGCUAGGGGAGCGAACGGGAUUAGAUACCCCGGUAGUCCUAGCUGUAAAGCAU
This 562-nucleotide ribosomal RNA is filed under the name uncultured archaeon. RNAcentral describes it as "bacterial SSU rRNA". It matches the Rfam family "Archaeal small subunit ribosomal RNA", at positions 202 to 761 of the family's 1478-position model. The record is from RNAcentral.